Molecule: ribosomal RNA, 497 nt
Filed under: uncultured bacterium
Lineage: Bacteria
Description: partial 16S ribosomal RNA
Rfam family: Bacterial small subunit ribosomal RNA
Source: RNAcentral
GAUGAACGCUGGCGGCGUGCUUAAUACAUGCAAGUCGAGCGAACAGACGAGGAGCUUGCUCCUCUGACGUUAGCGGCGGACGGGUGAGUAACACGUGGAUAACCUACCUAUAAGACUGGGAUAACUUCGGGAAACCGGAGCUAAUACCGGAUAAUAUAUUGAACCGCAUGGUUGAAUAGUGAAUGACGUUUUUGCUGUGCCUUCUAGAUGGAUCCGCGCGGCGUUAGCUAGUUGGUAAGGUAACGGCUUACCAAGGCCAGCAUGCGUAGCCGACCUGAGAGGGUGUUCGGCCACACUGGAACUGAGACACGGUCCAGGCUCCUACGGGAGGCAGCGGUAGGGAAUCGUCCGCAAUGGGCGAAAGCCUGACGGAGCAGCGCCGCGUGGGUGAUGAAGGUCUUCGGAUCGUAAAACUCUGUUAUUGGGGAAGAACAAAUGUGUAAGUAACUAUGCACGUCUUGACGGUACCUAAUCAGGAAGCCACGGCUAACUACGUG